AUGGAGGCUGCCAUAUCUGUAGUCGCAGGUGAACUAGUGAGUCGUUUCAUCUCCUUGCUGAUGAACAAGUACCACUCCUCCUUUAGCCAUGCACAGUCAGAGGAGAAGAUGGUGGAGAGAUUGCAGAACCUCCUUAUGAGAGUCAGCAUGAUCGUCGAGGAAGCAGAUGCGCGGUACAUAACAAAUUCUGGGAUGUUGUUACAGCUCAAGACACUCUCAGAGGCCAUGUACAAAGGAUACCGCGUGCUGGACACCUUGAGGUACCAAAACCUCCAAGACAGUGUAGGCAUUGACGAGGUUAGCAUCAAUGACUCAUCUAGCAGCAGCUUGUACUUAUCCAUUCCCGUCAAGCGUUCUAGAACAAAAGCCGAGAAGGAUGACAAGGCCAUGCGGCUCGAGUCAGAUGGUGCCUUGCAAAGCUUAGAAAUUGUUGUUGCUAACAUGGCAGAAUUUGUAGUGCUUCUGGAUGGAUGCGAGCACAUAUCUCGUAGGCCAUAUGAUGUUUAUCUUUACACCAACAACUUCAUGUUCAGCCGACAUGCUGAAAAACAAAGGCUCUUGAGCUUCUUGUUGGAGCACAACAACCCUCCUGGUGAUCAUGCGCCGGCGGUUCUUCCGAUCAUAAGUGGUUUUGCAAUUGGGAAGAAAACAUUGGUUGCUCAUGUGUGUGGUGACGAAAGGGUUCGGUCACGCUUCUCUAUUCUGCACUUGAAUGGAGACAAACUCUUGACAAUACUUGACCAUGGAAGGACCAUGUCUGGGACGAUGUUGGUAGUUAUUGAGUUUGCUUCUGAUGUAGGUGACAAUGAUUGGAAAAAGUUUCACUUAUUAGCCCGGUUUGGAUCGAUGCAGCCUAUUUUCGUAAGUGUUCUGUCCUACGACGAGUUGAGGUACCUUUUCAAGACACUGGCAUUCGGGAGCGUAAACCCCGCAGAAUAUUCACGGCUAGUACAAUUAGCUGAUGAUUUUGCGGUGGCCAUUGCAAAUAAUUCAGGAAUGCUGAAGAACUUGUCGGAGACUUCAUAUCUCUCGACCCGGGGUGAUGUUCAGUUUUGGCGUUGCUUAUUUGACAAGGGGGUAAGAUAUGUUAAAAGAAACCUCUCCAUACAUGGUGUGCAGCCAAGUAUGCUUAUAUAUAGAACAAGGCCAUCCAGUGGACAUCACGGACUUCGCUUUGCAUCCACUUACCAUGACAAGUAA
Molecule: ribosomal RNA, 1200 nt
Filed under: Triticum aestivum (bread wheat)
Lineage: Eukaryota; Viridiplantae; Streptophyta; Magnoliopsida; Poales; Poaceae
Description: partial small subunit ribosomal RNA
Source: RNAcentral